UACAGAGGGUGCGAGCGUUGUUCGGAAUUACUGGGCGUAAAGCGCGUGUAGGCGGUCUACUAAGUCAGAUGUGAAAUCCUGGGGCUUAACUCCAGAAGUGCAUUUGAAACUAUUAGGCUAGAGUGAUGUAGAGGAUGGCGGAAUACCCAGUGUAGAGGUGAAAUUCGUAGAGAUUGGGUAGAACACCGGUGGCGAAGGCGGCCAUCUGGGCAUUAACUGACGCUGAGACGCGAAAGCGUGGGGAGCAAACAGG
RNAcentral lists this ribosomal RNA (253 nucleotides) under uncultured bacterium. Its description in RNAcentral is "partial 16S ribosomal RNA". It matches the Rfam family "Bacterial small subunit ribosomal RNA", at positions 524 to 776 of the family's 1533-position model. The record is from RNAcentral.